GCUAGGUUGCUAGCUGCUGAUGCUGCUAAUGUUGUGGCUUCUUUCAGCCGUUGUCUAUCUUUAUUUUCUCCAAGUUUGUUUCUUCCUUAUCAGAAUGUAGCGGCUUCUUUCAUGUUUCAUCUGCAAGUUCUUAUUUAGAUUUCGAUAUAGCUCAGUGGUUUCAGGUAUGUUGGUGUUCUCUCUCUAUGUGCCAGGAUAGGUGCUACGAUGAUUCGGCCGCUAGAAGGCAUGUUACUUUCAAUGUUACACAUGGCCACUAAUUUCCUUUUGCUAUUAUUACUCUACUUUUAGAUUGCUGAUCCUAUAUCACUGUGCUUCUACUUGUUUCCUGAGGGUUGCUGGGUUGCUGCAUCUGUACCUGCGAUUUGCGGAUUUAUGCUGUCUCAUUAUUCUUUCCUCAGGGGUUUCAGUUUCAUUUCAGAGCUGCCACACAGCCCUCAAUACUAGCUGGAUUCUUUACCAUAUACUUUUCCCUCCAUCUUCUGCACCGUUUCAUGGUAGGCUAUUUUCAUUCCAUAUGCUGUUUCAUGUGGAGCUACUAUGUACCAUGUAUCUGCUUCAUUCCUAUGUGGUUUCGGUUAACAAGCUCGCAUUGCCACUCCUUCC
Molecule: long non-coding RNA, 606 nt
Filed under: Elaeis guineensis (African oil palm)
Lineage: Eukaryota; Viridiplantae; Streptophyta; Magnoliopsida; Arecales; Arecaceae
Description: long non-coding RNA (EGUI_LNC050987)
Source: RNAcentral